GGGUCUUUAAAGUCAGAUGGCCUGGGUCAGAGCAACAACAGGUGUCCUGGGUGGCAUUAGCAACGCUUAACUGAUGAGAGAGGCCGAAAGGUCACGGCCGACACCACAGACACACCCCCUUUUGACAGAGAGACUGCCUGCGACCACACACAGCUUUAAAAACAAGAAGGAACUGUGGACCGCUGCAGACUUUUCACCAGCAGCAGUGUUUUCGCUCCAAGGUCGAUGCUCAAAGCACCUGCCGCUCCUCGCUGCAUCUCUGACGGCUGGCAUUCAUCAAGAGAGUCGCAGUGAAUGAAUGUUGUGACACCUCUAACGGGGGGAAAAGCUGUCAUCAAACACCGUCAAUGCGCUAAACGGCACAGAAGUCAUCUGAUAGACGUCAGCGCGGUGAGAAAAGAUCCAAGGAUUUUGUUUUGUGCGAGGCGAUGACAGCGAUGAAGGAGAAAGUGGCGAUGAGUACGGCAGCACAUGACAGCAUGAAGAGGAGGUGCGGGUUGCCUGCGAGUGACACAGGAAAAAACAUAAGCGUGUUAUCUGUGAAUGUAUAGUUCUAAUCGAUAACAAUAUUUGAAACUGCUGUUCAUGUGCAAAUAAUUAAUCUGAGUGUUUUUAAUUUAAAAUGAUUGUAAAUAUCUAUGUGUAGAUCUCAUUUAGGGUGAAAUAAAGGAAGAUGCUGUCUUUCAACUGUCAUCUGCUCAAUAUUAUGGGAUGUCUGUUGUAUCAAUCAAACAAACAAACAAACAAAUAAACAAUCAAUCAAUCAAUCAUUCUAUAAAAUAAUCAAACAAUCAAUCAAUAUGUUGGUCGGUGAGUCGGCCAGUUGGUCGAUCGAUCAAUCAAACAAAGUAACAAUCAAUCAAUCAAUCAAUCAAUCAACCAAACAACCAAACAAACCCCAGUAAAGUUACGAUUUUCCAUUCGAAUGUGACAUCAAAAGUUGGUUAAUCUGAGUUUCAUUUGGAUCGUUAGAGCAGCGAAUCGAUCAGACAUGUGCUGACCACGCUGUCUCCCUGUCUCCUCGCUCUCUGUGGAACUAACACAGCUAAAUGCCACAUGGUACGUUUCUCUCUGAAACACCUCAUGACACAACACAGCUCAUCGCAGUUACAAGAAUCUUUUUGAUUGUAAAACAUGAACGAAUUAUUAGCUGCAUGCACGCGCUAGAUGAAACUGGUAAAUCAGAACAAAGAGUCAUUGAUUUUUGGUUCAUUCGGAUUCAAAAUGUCAUUAAGUCUACAUAGGGAAUUAUAUGGAGAGGUAGGGGAGCCUUGCAGAAAGUGGUCGGGAACGUUGAAAAGCUUUAGUCAGAGUUUGCAAAUGAAUGAAC
Hippoglossus stenolepis (Pacific halibut) is the source of this 1330-nucleotide long non-coding RNA. RefSeq lists it as uncharacterized. NCBI's taxonomy places the organism in Eukaryota, Metazoa, Chordata, Actinopteri, Pleuronectiformes, Pleuronectidae. The record is from RefSeq and is a predicted model, not a curated record. The transcript is spliced from 3 exons.